RNAcentral lists this ribosomal RNA (561 nucleotides) under uncultured bacterium. Its description in RNAcentral is "bacterial SSU rRNA". It matches the Rfam family "Bacterial small subunit ribosomal RNA", at positions 338 to 916 of the family's 1533-position model. The record is from RNAcentral.
CCUACGGGAGGCAGCAGUGGGGAAUAUUGGACAAUGGGCGAAAGCCUGAUCCAGCAAUGCCGCGUGAGUGAUGAAGGCCUUAGGGUUGUAAAGCUCUUUUACCAGGGAUGAUAAUGACAGUACCUGGAGAAUAAGCUCCGGCUAACUCCGUGCCAGCAGCCGCGGUAAUACGGAGGGGGCUAGCGUUGUUCGGAAUUACUGGGCGUAAAGCGUACGUAGGCGGUUAUUCAAGUCAGAGGUGAAAGCCUGGAGCUCAACUCCAGAACUGCCUUUGAAACUAGAUAGCUAGAAUCUUGGAGAGGUGAGUGGAAUUCCGAGUGUAGAGGUGAAAUUCGUAGAUAUUCGGAAGAACACCAGUGGCGAAGGUGACUCACUGGACAAGUAUUGACGCUGAGGUACGAAAGCGUGGGGAGCAAACAGGAUUAGAUACCCUGGUAGUCCACGCCGUAAACGAUGAUAACUAGCUGUUCGGGCUCUACGAGCUUGAGUGGCGCAGCUAACGCAUUAAGUUAUCCGCCUGGGGAGUACGGUCGCAAGAUUAAAACUCAAAUGAAUUGACGG